Molecule: ribosomal RNA, 468 nt
Filed under: uncultured bacterium
Lineage: Bacteria
Description: partial 16S ribosomal RNA
Rfam family: Bacterial small subunit ribosomal RNA
Source: RNAcentral
GACGAACGCUGGCGGCGUGCUUAACACAUGCAAGUCGAACGGAAAGGCCCUGCUUUUGUGGGGUGCUCGAGUGGCGAACGGGUGAGUAACACGUGAGUAACCUGCCCUUGACUUUGGGAUAACUUCAGGAAACUGGGGCUAAUACCGGAUAGGAGCCCCUGCUGCAUGGUGGGGGGUGGAAAGUUUCGGCGGUUGGGGAUGGACUCGCGGCUUAUGAGCUUGUUGGUGGGGUGGUGGCUUACCAAGGCUUUGACGGGUAGCCGGCCUGAGAGGGUGAACGGCCACCAUGGGACUGAGAGACGGCCCAGACUCCUACGGGAGGCAGCAGUGGGGAAUAUUGCACAAUGGGCGGGAGCCUGAUGCAGCAACGCCGCGUGCGGGAUGACCGCCUUCGGGUUGUAAACCGCUUUAGCCUGUGACGAAGCGUGAGUGACGGUAAUGGGUAAAGAAGCACCGGCUAACUACGUG